Molecule: ribosomal RNA, 533 nt
Filed under: Varuna litterata
Lineage: Eukaryota; Metazoa; Arthropoda; Malacostraca; Decapoda; Varunidae
Description: partial 16S ribosomal RNA
Rfam family: Bacterial large subunit ribosomal RNA (bases 397-533)
Source: RNAcentral
UGGUGGUUAGAUUAAAAGUUUAACCUGCCCACUGAUUGGAACAAAAUUAAAUGGCCGCGGUAUAUUGACCGUGCAAAGGUAGCAUAAUCGUUAGUUUUUUAAUUGGAAUCUUGUAUGAAUGGUUGGACAAAAGAAAAUCUGUCUUUAUAUUAUUAAUUGAAUUUAACUUUUAAGUGAAAAGGCUUAAAUGGAUUAAAGUGACGAUAAGACCCUAUAAAGCUUUAUAUAGAUAUAUUAUUUAAUUAAAUUUUUAAUAAAAAUUUAGUAGUAAAAUUUAUUUUAUUGGGGCGAUAAGAGUAAAAUUUUUAUUAACUGCUUUAAGUUUUGAAUACAUUUAUGUUUGAUUAAAAUUUUAAAUGAUCCUAAAUAAAGAUUAAAAGUUUAAGUUACUUUAGGGAUAACAGCGUUAUUUUUUUUGAGAGUACUUAUCGAAAAAAAAGUUUGCGACCUCGAUGUUGAAUUAAAAUUUCUUUAUAAUUGCAGAAGUUAUAAAAGUAGGUCUGUUCGACCUUUAAAAUUUUACAUGAUCUGGU